RNAcentral lists this ribosomal RNA (775 nucleotides) under uncultured Neocallimastigales. RNAcentral's name for it is "partial large subunit ribosomal RNA". It matches the Rfam family "Eukaryotic large subunit ribosomal RNA", at positions 22 to 624 of the family's 3401-position model. The record is from RNAcentral. Lineage: Eukaryota; Fungi; Neocallimastigomycota; Neocallimastigomycetes; Neocallimastigales.
GUACACGCUGUGACUAGCAUAUCAAUAAGCGGAGGAAAAGAAACUAACAAGGAUUCCCUUAGUAACGGCGAGUGAAGCGGGAAGAGCUCAAAUUUGAAAUCUUCAAGGUUUUACCUUGACGAAUUGUAGUUUAAAGAAGUGUUUUCUGCUGGAGUUUUGGUAAAAGUUCUUUGGAAUAGGACAUCAUAGAGGGUGAGAAUCCCGUAUUUGACCAUUAUUUCCAGCUUUGUGAUACACUUUCAAAGAGUCGGAUUGUUUGGGAAUGCAGUCCAAAAUGGGUGGUAAAUUUCAUCUAAAGCUAAAUAUUGGCGAGAGACCGAUAGCGAACAAGUACCGUGAGGGAAAGAUGAAAAGAACUUUGAAAAGAGAGUUAAACAGUACGUGAAAUUGUCAAAAGGGAAGCGUUUGACACCAGUGUUGUUUUCUCGAAAAUCAAUUAAAAUAGGCAGGAUUUUGUGUUGUAUUGACUUUAUCAGCUUUCUGCACUCUUUUCUUGUCUUUUUUAAUGCACUUUUCGUUUAACAAGUCAACAUCAGUUUCUUUUGUUGUAAAAGGGUCAUUGGAAGGUGGCUUUCUUUUCGGAGAAAGUGUUUAUAGCCUUUGGCCUCUGCAAUCGGAGAGAUUGAGGUCUGCAGCGUAGAUCCUUCGGGGUUAGAUACAUUUGUGCUAAGUUAUAGCCUUUUCAUAGACAACUUGUUGACUAUAAUCAGUCAUGUAGCUUACUCGCUUAUGCUAUUUUACCUACGCUUAGGAUGUUGAUCUACAGAGCGAGAGU